GCGUAGGAACCUGCCCAGUAGUGGGGGAUAGCCCGGUGAAACCGGAUUAAUACCGCAUACGCUCUACGGAGGAAAGGGGGCUUCGGCUCUCGCUAUUGGAUGGGCCUGCGUGAGAUUAGCUAGAUGGUGGGGUAAUGGCCUACCAUGGCGACGAUCUCUAGCUGGUUUGAGAGGAUGAUCAGCCACACUGGGACUGAGACACGGCCCAGACUCCUACGGGAGGCAGCAGUGGGGAAUAUUGCACAAUGGGCGAAAGCCUGAUGCAGCCAUGCCGCGUGUGUGAAGAAGGCCUUCGGUUGU
Molecule: ribosomal RNA, 300 nt
Filed under: uncultured Oleiphilaceae bacterium
Lineage: Bacteria; Pseudomonadati; Pseudomonadota; Gammaproteobacteria; Oceanospirillales; Oleiphilaceae
Description: bacterial SSU rRNA
Rfam family: Bacterial small subunit ribosomal RNA
Source: RNAcentral